UACGUAGGGUGCGAGCGUUGUUCGGAAUUACUGGGCGUAAAGAGCUCGUAGGCGGCCGGUUGCGUCUGCUGUGAAAUCCCGGGGCUUAACCCCGGGCGUGCAGUGGAUACGGGCCGGCUGGAGGCAGGCAGGGGAGAAUGGAAUUCCCGGUGUAGCGGUGGAAUGCGCAGAUAUCAGGAGGAACACCAAUGGCGAAGGCAGAUCUCUGGGCCGUAACUGACGCUGAGGAGCGAAAGCAUGGGGAGCAAACAGG
RNAcentral lists this ribosomal RNA (253 nucleotides) under uncultured bacterium. RNAcentral's name for it is "partial 16S ribosomal RNA". It matches the Rfam family "Bacterial small subunit ribosomal RNA", at positions 524 to 776 of the family's 1533-position model. The record is from RNAcentral.